This 409-nucleotide ribosomal RNA is filed under the name Salmonella enterica subsp. enterica serovar Fresno str. ST224. RNAcentral describes it as "bacterial SSU rRNA". It matches the Rfam family "Bacterial small subunit ribosomal RNA", at positions 1 to 406 of the family's 1533-position model. Lineage: Bacteria; Pseudomonadati; Pseudomonadota; Gammaproteobacteria; Enterobacterales; Enterobacteriaceae. The record is from RNAcentral.
UUAAAUUGAAGAGUUUGAUCAUGGCUCAGAUUGAACGCUGGCGGCAGGCCUAACACAUGCAAGUCGAACGGUAGCACAGAGAGCUUGCUCUUGGGUGACGAGUGGCGGACGGGUGAGUAAUGUCUGGGAAACUGCCUGAUGGAGGGGGAUAACUACUGGAAACGGUGGCUAAUACCGCAUAACGUCGCAAGACCAAAGAGGGGGACCUUCGGGCCUCUUGCCAUCAGAUGUGCCCAGAUGGGAUUAGCUUGUUGGUGAGGUAACGGCUCACCAAGGCGACGAUCCCUAGCUGGUCUGAGAGGAUGACCAGCCACACUGGAACUGAGACACGGUCCAGACUCCUACGGGAGGCAGCAGUGGGGAAUAUUGCACAAUGGGCGCAAGCCUGAUGCAGCCAUGCCGCGUGUAU